CCUACGGGUGGCUGCAGUGGGGAAUAUUGCACAAUGAGGGAAACCCUGAUGCAGCGACGCCGCGUGCGUGAAGAAGUAUUUCGGUAUGUAAAGCUCUAUCAGCAGGGAAGAAAAUGACGGUACCUGAUUAAGAAGCCCCGGCUAACUACGUGCCAGCAGCCGCGGUAAUACGUAGGGGGGCAGCGUUAUCCGGAUAUACUGGGGGUAAAGGUAGCGUAGACGGCAGCACAAGUCUGGAGGGAAAUGCCGGGGCUUAACCCCGGAAUUGCUUUGGAAACUGUGCAGCUAGAGUGAGGGAGAGGUAAGUGGAAUUCCUAGUGAAGCGGUGAAAUGCGUAGAUAUAAGGAGGAACACCAGUGGCGAAGGCGGCUUACUGGACUGUAACUGACGUUGAGGCUCGAAAGCGUGGGGAGCAAACAGGAUUAGAUACCCUUGUAGUC
This 440-nucleotide ribosomal RNA is filed under the name uncultured bacterium. Its description in RNAcentral is "partial 16S ribosomal RNA". It matches the Rfam family "Bacterial small subunit ribosomal RNA", at positions 338 to 795 of the family's 1533-position model. The record is from RNAcentral.